Molecule: ribosomal RNA, 744 nt
Filed under: Pseudocercospora rhoina
Lineage: Eukaryota; Fungi; Ascomycota; Dothideomycetes; Mycosphaerellales; Mycosphaerellaceae
Description: eukaryotic LSU rRNA
Rfam family: Eukaryotic large subunit ribosomal RNA
Source: RNAcentral
GAAGCGGCAACAGCUCAAAUUUGAAAUCUGGCGUCAGCCCGAGUUGUAAUUUGUAGAGGAUGCUUCUGGGUAGCGGCCGGUCUAAGUUCCUUGGAACAGGACGUCAUAGAGGGUGAGAAUCCCGUAUGUGACUGGCUUGCACCCUCCACGUAGCUCCUUCGACGAGUCGAGUUGUUUGGGAAUGCAGCUCUAAAUGGGAGGUAAAUUUCUUCUAAAGCUAAAUACCGGCCAGAGACCGAUAGCGCACAAGUAGAGUGAUCGAAAGAUGAAAAGCACUUUGGAAAGAGAGUUAAAAAGCACGUGAAAUUGUUGAAAGGGAAGCGCCCGCAACCAGACUUUGCGGCGGUGUUCGGCUGGUCUUCUGACCGGUUUACUCGCCGCCGUGAGGCCAUCAUCGUCUGGGACCGCUGGAUAAGACCGGAGGAAUGUAGCUCCCUUCGGGGUGUGUUAUAGCCUCUGGUGAUGCAGCGCGUCUCGGGCGAGGUCCGCGCCUCGGCAAGGAUGAUGGCGUAAUGGUUGUCGGCGGCCCGUCUUGAAACACGGACCAAGGAGUCUAACAUCUAUGCGAGUGUUCGGGUGUCAAACCCCUACGCGUAAUGAAAGUGAACGGAGGUGGGAACUUUUUGUGCACCAUCGACCGAUCCUGAUGUCCUCGGAUGGAUUUGAGUAAGAGCAUAGCUGUUGGGACCCGAAAGAUGGUGAACUAUGCCUGAAUAGGGUGAAGCCAGAGGAAACUCUGGUGGA